Molecule: ribosomal RNA, 492 nt
Filed under: Triticum aestivum (bread wheat)
Lineage: Eukaryota; Viridiplantae; Streptophyta; Magnoliopsida; Poales; Poaceae
Description: partial small subunit ribosomal RNA
Source: RNAcentral
AUGUCGUCCUCCUCCUCUCCCGUCGCCAUGGCCUCUCCUUCCCUCGCAUCGCUCGGCCACACCAUCACCGAGAAGCUCACGAGGGAAAAAUUUCUGGUAUGGAAGGCGCAAGUCCUGCCGCAUAUCAAAGCGGCAGGGAUGAUGGACUACCUCGACGGCUCGAUCAAGGAGCCAAACGCCCUCCUCCUCUUUGAGAAGGAGAUCGGUGACGGGAAGAAGGAGACCGUCACCACGCCCAACCCGGAGCACGCCAUCUGGGUAACGCAAGAUCAACAGGUGCUCACGUUCCUGAUUGCUUCUCUCUCUCUCGAUCUCUCGGUCUCUCUCGAUGUUCUCAUGCAAGUCUCGAACCACACCACCUCUAUUAGCAUCUGGCAAGCCCCGCUCCAGAGUUUUUAUCGCAGUCCAGGGCGCGCACCAUCCAGCUUCGCUCUGCCCUGGGGAACACGCGCAAGGGAGACCUCUUGGCCGCCGCCUACUUCACCAAGAUGA